Molecule: ribosomal RNA, 497 nt
Filed under: uncultured bacterium
Lineage: Bacteria
Description: partial 16S ribosomal RNA
Rfam family: Bacterial small subunit ribosomal RNA
Source: RNAcentral
GACGAACGCUGGCGGCGUGCCUAAUACAUGCAAGUUGAGCGCUGAAGGUUGGUACUUGUACCAACUGGAUGAGCAGCGAACGGGUGAGUAACGCGCGGGGAAUCUGCCUUUGAGCGGGGGACAACAUUUGGAAACGAAUGCUAAUACCGCAUAAAAACUUUAAACACAAGUUUUAAGUUUGAAAGAUGCAAUUGCAUCACUCAAAGAUGAUCCCGCGUUGUAUUAGCUAGUUGGUGAGGUAAAGGCUCACCAAGGCGAUGAUACAUAGCCGACCUGAGAGGGUGAUCGGCCACGUUGGGACUGAGACACGGCCCAAACUCCUACGGGAGGCAGCAGUAGGGAAUCUUCGGCAAUGGACGAAAGUCUGACCGAGCAACGCCGCGUGAGUGAAGAAGGUUUUCGGAUCGUAAAACUCUGUUGGUAGAGAAGAACGUUGGUGAGAGUGGAAAGCUCAUCAAGUGACGGUAACUACCCAGAAAGGGACGGCUAACUACGUG